GAUGAACGCUGGCGGCGUGCCUAAUACAUGCAAGUCGAGCGACGCGGGGAGAGGUGAGUAACACGUGGAUAACCUCCUAUAAGGCUGGGAUAACUUCGGGAAACCGGUGCUAAACCGGCUUCUUAUCCAUGGAUCUGCGUUGCAUUAGCUGGUUGGUAAGGUAACGGCUUACCAAGGCAACGAUGCAUAGCCGACCUGAGAGGGUGAUCGGCCACACUGGAACUGAGACACGGUCCAGACUCCUACGGGAGGCAGCAGUAGGGAAUCUUCCGCAAUGGGCGAAAGCCUGACGGAGCAACGCCGCGUGAGUGAUGAAGGUCUUCGGAUCGUAAAACUCUGUUAUCAGGGAAGCGGUACCUAAUCAGAAAGCCACGGCUAACUACGUGCCAGCAGCCGCGGUAAUUC
RNAcentral lists this ribosomal RNA (405 nucleotides) under uncultured bacterium. RNAcentral's name for it is "partial 16S ribosomal RNA". It matches the Rfam family "Bacterial small subunit ribosomal RNA", at positions 28 to 526 of the family's 1533-position model. The record is from RNAcentral.